Molecule: long non-coding RNA, 727 nt
Organism: Orcinus orca (killer whale)
Lineage: Eukaryota; Metazoa; Chordata; Mammalia; Artiodactyla; Delphinidae
Exons: 2
Source: RefSeq, a predicted model, not a curated record
CCCCAGCCCCUGCAACCACCAUUCUGCUGUCUUUAUGAGAUGUGACUCCAUACCUCCUAUAAGUAGAAUCAUACAGUAUUUGUCACUCGUGAUUAGCUGAUUCCAAUGAACAUAAUGCUCUCAAGGUUCAUGCAUGUUGUAGCGUAGUAAAGAAUUUCCUUCCUUUUAUUCCAGUGUAUGGAUGGACCACACUUUGUGUAUCCAUUCACUCUUUGAACACUUACAUUGCUUUACAUAUUUUAACGAUUGUGAAUCAUGCUGCCAUGAACAUGGGUAAACAAGCAUCUCUUGGAGACCCUACUUUCAGUACUUGAAGGGUAUAUACCCAGAAGUGGAAUUGCGGGAGAAUAUGGUAAUUCUUUCAGUUUUCUGAGGAACUACCAUACUGUUUCCACAACUGCUUUACAUCUUACAUCCCUACCAGCAGUGCACAAGGAUUCCAGUUUUUCCACAUCCUUGUCCAUACUUGCUUUCUGGGUUUUUUUUUUUUUUUUUUUUUUUUGAUAAUAGCCAUCCUAAUGUGUGUGAGGUGAUACCUUAUUGUAGUUUUGGUUUGCAUUUCCCUAAUGAUUAGUGAUUCUGAGCAUCUUUUCAUGUGCUUAUUGGCCACUCGUAUGUUUCUUUUCUUUUCUUUUUUUUAUUCAAUAUGAAUUUUUAUUAACACACAUUUUUCAAAGUCUGUACAAAUCAAAACAUUCCUGUGUUUUAAAAGGUCCAUUAUUACAAA